AGCAUAAUUUUUUGAUACCUGGGCAGCUGG
Molecule: non-coding RNA, 30 nt
Filed under: Cricetulus griseus (Chinese hamster)
Lineage: Eukaryota; Metazoa; Chordata; Mammalia; Rodentia; Cricetidae
Source: RNAcentral